GAUGAACGCUGGCGGCGUGCCUAAUACAUGCAAGUCGAGCGAACGGACGAGAAGCUUGCUUCUCUGAUGUUAGCGGCGGACGGGUGAGUAACACGUGGAUAACCUACCUAUAAGACUGGGAUAACUUCGGGAAACCGUAGCUAAUACCGGAUAAUAUUUUGAACCGCAUGGUUCAAAAGUGAAAGACGGUCUUGCUGUCACUUAUAGAUGGAUCCGCGCUGCAUUAGCUAGUUGGUAAGGUAGCGGCUUACCAAGGCAACGAUGCAUAGCCGACCUGAGAGGGUGAUCGGCCACACUGGAACUGAGACACGGUCCAGGCUCCUACGGGAGGCAGCAGUAGGGAAUCUUCCGCAAUGGGCGAAAGCCUGACGGAGCAACGCCGCGUGAGUGAUGAAGGUCUUCGGAUCGUAAAACUCUGUUAUUAGGGAAGAACAUAUGUGUAAGUAACUGUGCACAUCUUGACGGUACCUAAUCAGAAAGCCACGGCUAACUACGUG
Molecule: ribosomal RNA, 497 nt
Filed under: uncultured bacterium
Lineage: Bacteria
Description: partial 16S ribosomal RNA
Rfam family: Bacterial small subunit ribosomal RNA
Source: RNAcentral